UUAAUCAGCAGGUGUUGGCAUCUGAGUGUCUGGCAUAAGUGCUGCGAGUGAGAGAACAUGUUUUCUUAUCCUGUAGCUGCGAUUUUAAUCGGCACGUGUUGGCAUCUCAGUGUCUGGCAUGGGUGCUGCGAGUGAGAGAAGAUUUUUUUUUCUUGUCCUGUAGCACCGCUUUUAAUCAGCCCGUGUUGGCAUCUGAGUGUCUGGUGGGGGUGGUGUGAGUGAGAGGUUUUGUUCUUGUCUUGUAGCACCGAUUUUAAUCGGCACGUGUUGGUGUCUCUGCAGUAGAUGUUGUGAGAGCAGUUUUCUUGUGUUCUAGCAGCGAUUUUAAUCAGGAGGUGUUGGCAUCUGAGUGUCCAGUGUGAGUUCUGUGAGGAGAGAAGUUUUCUUGUCUUGUAGCACGGAUUUUAAUCGGCAUGUGUUGGCGUCUCGGUGUCUGGGGUAGGUACUGUGAGAGCAGUGUUCUUGUCUUGUAGCAGCGAUUUUAAUCAGGAGGUGUUGGCAUCUGAGUGUCUGGUUGGGGUGGUGUGAG
Molecule: long non-coding RNA, 529 nt
Organism: Chiroxiphia lanceolata (lance-tailed manakin)
Lineage: Eukaryota; Metazoa; Chordata; Aves; Passeriformes; Pipridae
Exons: 3
Source: RefSeq, a predicted model, not a curated record